GUUCCAGUUGAAGUGAGGGUAGUUCCGAUUGGACCCUCUAGAUGAAGGACGUCUUAAUCUCAAUGACUCCUGGCCAUUGGAGUAAAUGUCAUCUACCACUGCAAGAGAAUGAAGGCUUUUAAGACAUAUUUUAAACAGUUUCAGGUACCUGUAGCUGACGGUGGGUCCCCCGCCCGGUUUACACUGAGCCCGUUCUGGAUAGCAGCCGAGACCAGCGCUAAUGCAUCCGGCCUCAGCGCCGCACCACGCGGCAUAGAAACGCAUCCUGAACAUGAAGAACACCACUACCAUGUAGAAAAACCUGAUGUGAGGGCGAAAGAGAAUAAAAUUGCCAUGACCCAAUGGUUACCACCGUGGGGGACCUAGGUUCAAGACCCUGACUGGACCAUCUGCCAACAUCCCCCGGACUCAUGGCUGUGGUGUCCUUGAGCAAGACACUGAUACCCCGAAAUGCUCCCCCGGCGCUUCAGCUGCCCCAUGCUCCAGUGUGUUCCACUAACAUGUGUAUGUGUUCACUGUGAUGGGUUAAAUGCAGGUGUGUGCAUGCAUGCAUGUUCAUGAUAAUAAAAGGUGAUUCUUCUUCUUCUUAAAUUAA
Molecule: long non-coding RNA, 595 nt
Organism: Phyllopteryx taeniolatus (common seadragon)
Lineage: Eukaryota; Metazoa; Chordata; Actinopteri; Syngnathiformes; Syngnathidae
Exons: 3
Source: RefSeq, a predicted model, not a curated record